RNAcentral lists this ribosomal RNA (116 nucleotides) under Beta vulgaris subsp. vulgaris (sugar beet). The record is from RNAcentral. Lineage: Eukaryota; Viridiplantae; Streptophyta; Magnoliopsida; Caryophyllales; Amaranthaceae.
GGGUUCAAAAAUACCGACACUAAUGCACUGGAUCCCAAUAGAACUUCACAGUUAAGCGUGUUUGGAGAUUAGUACUAGGAUGCGUGACCUCCUAGGAAGUCCUCGUGUUGCACCCG